Molecule: ribosomal RNA, 349 nt
Filed under: Pantoea agglomerans
Lineage: Bacteria; Pseudomonadati; Pseudomonadota; Gammaproteobacteria; Enterobacterales; Erwiniaceae
Description: bacterial SSU rRNA
Rfam family: Bacterial small subunit ribosomal RNA
Source: RNAcentral
CUUGCUCUCGGGUGACGAGUGGCGGACGGGUGAGUAAUGUCUGGGAAACUGCCUGAUGGAGGGGGAUAACUACUGGAAACGGUAGCUAAUACCGCAUAACGUCGCAAGACCAAAGAGGGGGACCUUCGGGCCUCUUGCCAUCAGAUGUGCCCAGAUGGGAUUAGCUAGUAGGUGGGGUAACGGCUCACCUAGGCGACGAUCCCUAGCUGGUCUGAGAGGAUGACCAGCCACACUGGAACUGAGACACGGUCCAGACUCCUACGGGAGGCAGCAGUGGGGAAUAUUGCACAAUGGGCGCAAGCCUGAUGCAGCCAUGCCGCGUGUAUGAAGAAGGCCUUCGGGUUGUAAA